RNAcentral lists this unclassified non-coding RNA (1196 nucleotides) under Hevea brasiliensis (rubber tree). Lineage: Eukaryota; Viridiplantae; Streptophyta; Magnoliopsida; Malpighiales; Euphorbiaceae. The record is from RNAcentral.
GGACAAUAGUUGUGAUUUAUAAGACCAAAUUAGGCUGAAUGCAAUUCAUCAAAUAUUAACAUUGUUGCUUAAACCCAUAAUUCUCUUAACAAUUGAAUUUGAAUAAUUAAAAUGAUACGAAAGAAUAAAUAACUGAAUUCAAUCAUCACUUUCUUUAUCAAGAAACCAAGGACACUUGACUCAGCUUACAUGUUGGGUAGACUUAGCUUUAAUUUAGCUUACAUGUUGGGCAGACUUAGCUUACGUUAAUGGGUGUGUUGUACUUGUGGGAAUUGGGGAAAACGAAGGAGAAUGAAUCUUUGGGAUGUUUAGAGAUAGUUGAAGCUCAUUUGAUGAGGGGUGUUUGAGCCUAGCUUUGUGUUUACCGAAUUUGUGAAAGCUAACUUGAAGAAUUUCAUACUUUAGAAUCAUUGAAUUGUAUGAAUUAGAAAGAUAGUUCCUCAUUAUUAUCAUAUAACUAUAUCUUACAGGAGAAAAAAAGAGCCAAGAUUUAAAUUCUUAACUUUCUGCUUCUUUACAAAAGCAUGAUGAAUUAGUAACUUAAAAAAGAAAGAAAGACACAGAAACAACACAUGUAAUUGGGUCACCCAACAUUUGUUUGCUACCUUUGAAAGUUAUAUAUUCAUGCAAGACUAGUCUGGUAAUGGUGGUGGUGGUGGUAGAGGGACGUUGACAGCCACCCAUAUCAUAUUUCCUUAAUUUAUCUUGUUAAUUGAAGAGAAUUGAUUAGCCAUUUCAACUGUUCAAAUGUUGUUAUAGAUAUGUCACAAUCAAAUGACUUGUUUAAUUUCUCUUCUAUUCCUUCUUUGUUUUUAUCCCCCCCUUCCCUGUGAAAGGUAAAUUGUAAGGGAAGUGUAAUCAUUGAAGUUCCUUAAUCCUUUCCCUUCAGGUAACCUCAGGUUUCUAAAAUUUUAUGUAACUGAUAAAUUGGCAGCUUAGCAUUGAUUGUGCUUAUUUUUAUUCUGGCCUUCCAUUUUUUGCCAAAGUGUGGGCACUCAAAUUUCUUAGUUUUCGCCAGCAUUUGCUCGUUGAUGGGUUCUCUUUAGGUAAAUCAUUAAAUUAUUGUUGGCACUUUUUCUUUUUUUUUUUUAAUAUUUCUUUAUUGGAAGACCAAAUAUGUUGAUGGUGCAUUUCUUUGUUCAUUCUAAUUAGUUUUCCAAACUUAAAUUGAAUUAAAGAAAUCUUUUUUCUUAAAA